This 288-nucleotide ribosomal RNA is filed under the name Enterococcus faecium. RNAcentral describes it as "partial 23S ribosomal RNA". It matches the Rfam family "Bacterial large subunit ribosomal RNA", at positions 1 to 282 of the family's 2925-position model. The record is from RNAcentral. Lineage: Bacteria; Bacillati; Bacillota; Bacilli; Lactobacillales; Enterococcaceae.
GAUAAGGUUAAGUGAAUAAGGGCGCACGGUGGAUGCCUUGGCACUAGGAGCCGAUGAAGGACGGGACUAACACCGAUAUGCUUUGGGGAGCUGUACGUAAGCUAUGAUCCAGAGAUUUCCGAAUGGGGGAACCCAGCAUCUUUAAUAGGAUGUUACGAUUGUGUGAAUACAUAGCACAUUCGAGGUAGACGCAGAGAACUGAAACAUCUAAGUACCUGCAGGAAGAGAAAGAAAAUUCGAUUCCCUGAGUAGCGGCGAGCGAAACGGGAAAAGCCCAAACCAACAAGC